AUUCAGCUGACCAGUCCCAAGUAGGACGAAACGCACGUCUUAAAU
Molecule: non-coding RNA, 45 nt
Organism: Schistosoma curassoni
Lineage: Eukaryota; Metazoa; Platyhelminthes; Trematoda; Strigeidida; Schistosomatidae
Source: Rfam